RNAcentral lists this ribosomal RNA (460 nucleotides) under uncultured bacterium. Its description in RNAcentral is "partial 16S ribosomal RNA". It matches the Rfam family "Bacterial small subunit ribosomal RNA", at positions 338 to 795 of the family's 1533-position model. The record is from RNAcentral.
CCUACGGGAGGCAGCAGUGAGGAAUAUUGGUCAAUGGGCGCGAGACUGAACCAGCCAAGUCGCGUGAAGGAUGACUGCACUACGGGUUGUAAACCUCUUUUAUAAAGGAAUAAAGUGAGGCACGUGUGCCUUUUUGUAUGUACUUUAUGAAUAAGGAUCGGCUAACUCCGUGCCAGCAGCCGCGGUAAUACGGAGGAUCCGAGCGUUAUCCGGAUUUAUUGGGUUUAAAGGGAGCGUAGAUGGGUUGUUAAGUCAGUGGUGAAAGUUUGCGGCUCAACCGUAAAAUUGCAAUUGAUACUGGCAGCCUUGAGUUCAGUUGAGGUAGGCGGAAUGCGUGGUGUAGCGGUGAAAUGCUUAGAGAUCACGAAGAACACCGAUUGCGAAGGCAGCUUACUAAACUGCCACUGACGUUGAUGCUCGAAAGUGUGGGUAUCAAACAGGAUUAGAUACCCGUGUAGUC